Molecule: long non-coding RNA, 685 nt
Filed under: Amborella trichopoda
Lineage: Eukaryota; Viridiplantae; Streptophyta; Magnoliopsida; Amborellales; Amborellaceae
Description: long non-coding RNA (ATRI_LNC002653)
Source: RNAcentral
CCUCUCUCUCUCUCUCUCUCUCUCUAGAAUUUCUCUCUGAUAGAGAAGUGGAUAACUGCUGUUAUCCUGAAAAAUUGGACUCUCUCUACAAUCUCUCUUCUCUCUCUUAACUUCAAAAUAUCAGAAGAUCAGGCAAAGUUAAAAGUAAAUUGUCUUCUUUCCAUUUCCAAAAUCCUCUCACUCAAAUACUAUAAAAACAAUAUUUGCAGAGAUUCCAAGAUCAGAGACUUCCUCAAAAAUAUAGCCAAAAAAAUGGAUCUCACAAAUAUAGCAAAAAAAUCGUAAAAAAACGGAAACUUAAAAGGCGUGAUAAAAUAAUAAACAGAAUGGAUCUCACAAAUAUAGCAAAAAAUCGUAAAAAAACGGAAACUUAAAAGGCGUGAUAAAAAUAAUAAAAUGAAUUUACAGCUCAUGUCAAAUACAUGUUUGCAAAGCGAAAUUUCUUCCAAUUUUCAUGGAAGUUUCCGAAUUUUUUAUCCGAAAAGUUAAAAAAUCUUUGGAGGAACUGUAAGUUGUCGAAGCCUUGAAGUCCUGGGAUUAAUUGAAAACCAGAAGAGGCCAAAGUCUUUCUAUUUAAAGCUAAAGAAAUAAAAGAAAAACAACAAUCAAACAAUAAUGAAAAUAAAUCGGCUACGUGUGUACAUGAUUCACCGCGUUGUCCUUCUCUCUCUAAGAAUCCUUUUUG